CGGGGUGUGGCGCAGCCCGGUAGCGCACCUGCUUUGGGAGCAGGGGGCCGUAGGUUCAAAUCCUAUCACCCCGA
Molecule: transfer RNA, 74 nt
Filed under: Fidelibacterota bacterium
Lineage: Bacteria; Pseudomonadati; Fidelibacterota
Description: tRNA-Pro
Rfam family: tRNA
About the family: Transfer RNA (tRNA) molecules are approximately 80 nucleotides in length. Their secondary structure includes four short double-helical elements and three loops (D, anti-codon, and T loops).
Source: RNAcentral